RNAcentral lists this ribosomal RNA (1049 nucleotides) under uncultured crenarchaeote. RNAcentral describes it as "bacterial SSU rRNA". It matches the Rfam family "Archaeal small subunit ribosomal RNA", at positions 302 to 1362 of the family's 1478-position model. The record is from RNAcentral. Lineage: Archaea; Thermoproteati; Thermoproteota.
CGCGGGAUUAGGCACGGGGGGACGGGGCGCAGCAGGCGCGAAAACUCUGCAAUACACGGAAGUGUGACAGGGCUAUCCCGAGUGCCAUCCGCUGAGGAAGGCUUUUACCCAGUUUAGCACGCUGGGGGAAUAAGGAGAGGGCAAGACUGGUGUCAGCCGCCGCGGUAAUACCAGCUCUCCGAGUGGUGUGGAUGUUUAUUGGGCCUAAAGCAUCCGUAGCUGGCUGGACAAGUCCCCUGUUAAAUCCACCGAUUUAAUCGUUGGAGUGCGGGGGAUACUGUUCGGCUAGGGGACGGGAGAGGCAGACGGUAUUUCCGGGGUAGGGGUGAAAUCCUAUAAUCCCGGGAAGACCACCAGUGGCGAAGGCUGUCUGCUAGAACGCGCCCGACGGUGAGGGAUGAAAGCUGGGGGAGCGAACCGGAUUAGAUACCCGGGUAGUCCCAGCUGUAAACGAUGCAGGCUAGGUGUUUGGACGGCCACGUGCCGUUCUAGUGCCGCAGGGAAAGCCGUUAGCCUGCCGCCUGGGGAGUACGGCCGCAAGGCUGAAACUUAAAGGAAUGGGCGGGGGAGCACCACAGGGGGUGAAGCUGCGGGUUUAAUGGGAGUCAACGCCCGAAAUCUCACCGGGAGCGACAGCAGUGUGAAGGCCAGAUUGAAGGUCUUGCUGGACGAGCUGAGAGGAGGUGCAUGGCCGUCGCCAGUUCGUGCCGUGAGGUGUCCUGUUAAGUCAGGCAACGAUCGAGACCCGCGUCCUCUGUUGCUACUGGUUUUGUGCCAGGCACACUGAGGAGACCGCCGCUGAUAAAGCGGAGGAAGGAGCGGGCCACGGCAGGUCAGUAUGCCCCGAAUCUCCCGGGCCACACGCGAGCUGCAAUGGCAGGUACAAUUGGUUCCGACCUCGAAAGGGGAAGGCAAUCCCGAAAGCCUGCCGUAGUUGGGAUCGAGGGUUGAAACCCAUCCUCGUGAACAUGGAAUCCCUAGUAAUCGCGUGUCACUAGCGCGCGGUGAAUACGUCCCUGCUCCUUGCACGAAUUCGCCGAAUCACUAGU